RNAcentral lists this unclassified non-coding RNA (201 nucleotides) under Hevea brasiliensis (rubber tree). Lineage: Eukaryota; Viridiplantae; Streptophyta; Magnoliopsida; Malpighiales; Euphorbiaceae. The record is from RNAcentral.
AGGUAACUUGAUUACCCAAGUUCAGUUGAAGGGCGAGAAUUAUGAAGAAUGGGCGCGAGCUAUGUGAACUGCAUUGCAGGCUAAAAAGAAAUAUGAUUUUAUUGAUGGAUCUGUCAAACAACCAGCAGAUGACUCAUUGGAACUCGAAGAUUGGUGGAUGAUUAACUCUAUGCUGGCUUCUUGGGUGUUUAACACCAUUGA